UAGGCAUUGUAUAUUUUCUUUAAUAAUAGGUAUUACCAAAUGGUUAAUAUUGUUUCUAUUUUCCCGUUUUUCCAUGGUUUUUUACAUUUAUUGGAAAAACUCCUGGGGAAAAUCAAAAAAUUACCUCCUUAAAGUACCUCUUCAGUCAGAUAUUCUUUUAGAAAAAGUGCUAUCAUUAUAAUUCUAAGAAAAAUGAAUAGAAUUGGUAGAAAAAUUGCGCUGAGUAAAAAAAAAAAAAAGUAAACAUCUUUGUAAAACCAUAACGUUCUUCGCUCCACUCAGAAUCUAAAAUAUGCCUAAAAAACAC
Molecule: non-coding RNA, 307 nt
Organism: Cinara cedri
Lineage: Eukaryota; Metazoa; Arthropoda; Insecta; Hemiptera; Aphididae
Source: the annotation of a GenBank genome assembly